CCUACGGGUGGCAGCAGUGAGGAAUAUUGGUCAAUGGACGAGAGUCUGAACCAGCCAAGUAGCGUGAAGGAUGACUGCCCAAUGGGUUGUAAACUUCUUUUAUAUGGGAAUAAAACAGGGUAUGCAUACCCUCUUGUAUGUACCAUAUGAAUAAGGAUCGGCUAACUCCGUGCCAGCAGCCGCGGUAAUACGGAGGAUCCGAGCGUUAUCCGGAUUUAUUGGGUUUAAAGGGAGCGUAGGUGGGUGGUUAAGUCAGUUGUGAAAGUUUGCGGCCCAACCGUAAAAUUGCAGUUGAAACUGGCAGUCUUGAGUACAGUAGAGGUGGGCGGAAUGCGUGGUGUAGCGGUGAAAUGCUUAGAUAUCACGAAGAACUCCGAUUGCGAAGGCAGCUCGCUGUACUGCAACUGACACUGAUGCUCGAAAGUGUGGGGAUCAAACAGGAUUAGAUACCCUUGUAGUC
This 460-nucleotide ribosomal RNA is filed under the name uncultured bacterium. Its description in RNAcentral is "partial 16S ribosomal RNA". It matches the Rfam family "Bacterial small subunit ribosomal RNA", at positions 338 to 795 of the family's 1533-position model. The record is from RNAcentral.